RNAcentral lists this ribosomal RNA (321 nucleotides) under uncultured Pseudomonadota bacterium. Its description in RNAcentral is "bacterial SSU rRNA". It matches the Rfam family "Bacterial small subunit ribosomal RNA", at positions 30 to 351 of the family's 1533-position model. The record is from RNAcentral. Lineage: Bacteria; Pseudomonadati; Pseudomonadota.
AUUGAACGCUGGCGGCAGGCCUAACACAUGCAAGUCGAGCGGUAGAGAGGAGCUUGCUUCUCUUGAGAGCGGCGGACGGGUGAGUAAUGCCUAGGAAUCUGCCUAGUGGUGGGGGAUAACGUUCGGAAACGGACGCUAAUACCGCAUACGUCCUACGGGAGAAAGCGGGGGACCUUCGGGCCUCGCGCCAUUAGAUGAGCCUAGGUCGGAUUAGCUAGUUGGUGAGGUAACGGCUCACCAAGGCGACGAUCCGUAACUGGUCUGAGAGGAUGAUCAGUCACACUGGAACUGAGACACGGUCCAGACUCCUACGGGUGGCUG